AAGAACGCAGCCGUAAUAUUAAUAUUUAUUCAAAAUUGCUCUCUCUCUCUCUCUUUCAGAAAAGUCUCAAAUAUUAACUGAUUUAGAUACGUUGUAAAAUAUCAAAUUAUAUGCACGCAUAAUAAAUUAUUACAUUCUAAAAUGAGACGUUAUUGCAUAUUAUGCGGAAGAGACUCGGCAAAAGACAAUGGAAAAAUAUAAGUAUUAUGAAUUUAAGCGUUUAUCAUUUUGAGUUUAUCUAUACAACUAUUGCUAAAUGUUUAAUGAUCUCUAAAUUUAAUAAUUUAACCACAGGUUUUUAAUAAAACUAUAUUUAAUCGACUUGUUUUUAUGUGUAAAUGAAUGACAGAUUUCAUAACCUUUAACGCGUAACAAAAUUCAUUAAAAAACUUUUAUUGACGGAUAACUUUUGGAAUUUUCUACACACGAGAACAAACUGAUGAAGUAUAGUGUUAUUUAAAUUUUAGAUGAGAUCCUCAAAGUAAAUCUUCAUUUUAUAUACUUAUAUCUAUAUAUUCGGGUGUGUGUGUGUUUGUGUGUGUAAGGGAGAAACUAAUAUUGUAAAUAUAUUUAAAUACAUAUUUUACUUAUACAUAUUUACAGAUUUCCUAAAGAUAUAGUACGAAGGAAAAUAUGGUUAAAAUUGUGUAAAGUAGAUGAAAGACAUAACUUCCUGUACUAUCCUUUGCAACAAACAUUUUAAAGAAAAUUUUUCUGAUUAGAGCAGGAGACAAUUAUAAAAUUUAAAAACUAGAUCAUUACCAUCUAUUGAUGUAUCAGAUAAAAUUGAAAAAAAGUUACCUUGCUCCAUGAAAAAGUGAACUGAAAUGUUUAUGAAAUGUUGGAACCAAACACAAGGAAGACGCGGUCCAAACCAAGAAAAUAAGCAAAGUUAGGUCAGGAAAUGAAUGCUACAAAUUCAAGUAAUUUAUGUCAUGAAAGUGAUGAAAAUCCAAUAUUAAAUAAGAAGCAAACCAAUAUUAUAUUGUUAAUUCUCUCUCUAGAUAUAUGUGCAACAUCAGAAUCUAUUGUGAUAAAGGAUAUAGAAAAAACAAUUUGAUAUCCUGGUGAUAUCAAUACAUCCUUCCUGGAAAUAACUCAGAAAACUGAAAUAGCUUUAAAUACAGCUAAAAAGGCCAUUUUAAAUCAGAGAAAAAAAAAACAUUACAACAUGCAUUUAAUAAAUACAGAAAGUCCAAAUGUCAUACAAUACAGGAUCUAAUAAAGUUAAGAAAAACAGUUAAACGGAACAAUUCUCUAUGAAUCCUUGAGUUUUGAAAAUUUAUGUUAAAGUAUUGAUGGAAUACUGUUGUCAGUAGUAUGGUACAGUGAUACACAUGUGAAUUGCUGUUGCCAAAAAAAUAAAUCUAAGGAAUUUACCUUGUGCCACAUUCA
Molecule: long non-coding RNA, 1395 nt
Organism: Odontomachus brunneus
Lineage: Eukaryota; Metazoa; Arthropoda; Insecta; Hymenoptera; Formicidae
Exons: 5
Source: RefSeq, a predicted model, not a curated record